GGGUUGUGAGGUUAAGCGAACAAGCGUACACGGUGGAUGCCCUGGCAGUCAGAGGCGAUGAAGGACGUGCUAAUCUGCGAAAAGCGCCGGUAAGGUGAUAUGAACCGUUAUAACCGGCGAUGUCCGAAUGGGGAAACCCGGUGCACUUCGGUGCAUCAUCGUUAGCUGAAUACAUAGGCUAACGAGGCGAACCGGGGGAACUGAAACAUCUAAGUACCCCGAGGAAAAGAAAUCAACCGAGAUUCCCCCAGUAGCGGCGAGCGAACGGGGAACAGCCCAGAGCCUGAAUCAGCUUGUGUGUCAGUGGAACGGUCUGGAAAGGCCGGCGAUACAGGGUGACAGCCCCGUACACGAAGGCACACAGGCUGUGAGCUCGAUGAGUAGGGCGGGACACGUGAUAUCCUGUCUGAAGAUGGGGGGACCAUCCUCCAAGGCUAAAUACUCCUGACUGACCGAUAGUGAACCAGUACCGUGAGGGAAAGGCGAAAAGAACCCCGGCGAGGGGAGUGAAACAGAACCUGAAACCGUGUACGUACAAGCAGUGGGAGCCUUCGUAAGAGGGUGACUGCGUACCUUUUGUAUAAUGGGUCAGCGACUUAUAUUCUGUAGCAAGGUUAACCGUAUAGGGGAGCCGAAGGGAAACCGAGUCUUAACCGGGCGUUAAGUUGCAGGGUAUAGACCCGAAACCCGGUGAUCUAGCCAUGGGCAGGUUGAAGGUUGGGUAACACUAACUGGAGGACCGAACCGACUAAUGUUGAAAAAUUAGCGGAUGACCUGUGGCUGGGGGUGAAAGGCCAAUCAAACCGGGAGAUAGCUGGUUCUCCCCGAAAGCUAUUUAGGUAGCGCCUCGUGAACUCAUCUCCGGGGGUAGAGCACUGUUUCGGCUAGGGGGCCAUCCCGGCUUACCAACCCGAUGCAAACUGCGAAUACCGGAGAAUGUUAUCACGGGAGACACACGGCGGGUGCUAACGUCCGUCGUGAAGAGGGAAACAACCCAGACCGCCAGCUAAGGUCCCAAAGUCAUGGUUAAGUGGGAAACGAUGUGGGAAGGCCCAGACAGCCAGGAUGUUGGCUUAGAAGCAGCCAUCAUUUAAAGAAAGCGUAAUAGCUCACUGGUCGAGUCGGCCUGCGCGGAAGAUGUAACGGGGCUAAACCAUGCACCGAAGCUGCGGCAGCGACACUAUGUGUUGUUGGGUAGGGGAGCGUUCUGUAAGCCUGUGAAGGUGUGCUGUGAGGCAUGCUGGAGGUAUCAGAAGUGCGAAUGCUGACAUAAGUAACGAUAAAGCGGGUGAAAAGCCCGCUCGCCGGAAGACCAAGGGUUCCUGUCCAACGUUAAUCGGGGCAGGGUGAGUCGACCCCUAAGGCGAGGCCGAAAGGCGUAGUCGAUGGGAAACAGGUUAAUAUUCCUGUACUUGGUGUUACUGCGAAGGGGGGACGGAGAAGGCUAUGUCGGCCGGGCGACGGUUGUCCCGGUUUAAGCGUGUAGGCUGACUUUCCAGGCAAAUCCGGAAGGUUAAGGCUGAGGCGUGAUGACGAGGCACCACGGUGCUGAAGUGACAAAUGCCCUGCUUCCAGGAAAAGCCUCUAAGCAUCAGGUAACAUCAAAUCGUACCCCAAACCGACACAGGUGGUCAGGUAGAGAAUACCAAGGCGCUUGAGAGAACUCGGGUGAAGGAACUAGGCAAAAUGGUGCCGUAACUUCGGGAGAAGGCACGCUGACAUGUAGGUGAAGCCCCUGCGGGUGGAGCUGAAGUCAGUCGAAGAUACCAGCUGGCUGCAACUGUUUAUUAAAAACACAGCACUGUGCAAACACGAAAGUGGACGUAUACGGUGUGACGCCUGCCCGGUGCCGGAAGGUUAAUUGAUGGGGUUAUCGCAAGAGAAGCUCCUGAUCGAAGCCCCGGUAAACGGCGGCCGUAACUAUAACGGUCCUAAGGUAGCGAAAUUCCUUGUCGGGUAAGUUCCGACCUGCACGAAUGGCGUAAUGAUGGCCAGGCUGUCUCCACCCGAGACUCAGUGAAAUUGAACUCGCUGUGAAGAUGCAGUGUACCCGCGGCAAGACGGAAAGACCCCGUGAACCUUUACUACAGCUUGACACUGAACAUUGAGCCUUGAUGUGUAGGAUAGGUGGGAGGCUUUGAAGCGUGGACGCCAGUCUGCGUGGAGCCGACCUUGAAAUACCACCCUUUAAUGUUUGAUGUUCUAACCUGGCGCCGUGAUCCGGCGUGGGGACAGUGUCUGGUGGGUAGUUUGACUGGGGCGGUCUCCUCCCAAAGUGUAACGGAGGAGCACGAAGGUCAGCUAAUCCUGGUCGGACAUCAGGAGGUUAGUGCAAUGGCAUAAGCUGGCUUGACUGCGAGAGUGACGGCUCGAGCAGGUGCGAAAGCAGGUCAUAGUGAUCCGGUGGUUCUGUAUGGAAGGGCCAUCGCUCAACGGAUAAAAGGUACUCCGGGGAUAACAGGCUGAUACCGCCCAAGAGUUCAUAUCGACGGCGGUGUUUGGCACCUCGAUGUCGGCUCAUCACAUCCUGGGGCUGAAGUAGGUCCCAAGGGUAUGGCUGUUCGCCAUUUAAAGUGGUACGCGAGCUGGGUUUAGAACGUCGUGAGACAGUUCGGUCCCUAUCUGCCGUGGGCGCUGGAGAAUUGAGGGGGGCUGCUCCCAGUACGAGAGGACCGGAGUGGACGCAUCACUGGUGUUCGGGUUGUCAUGCCAAUGGCACUGCCCGGUAGCUAAAUGCGGAAGAGAUAAGUGCUGAAAGCAUCUAAGCACGAAACUUGCCCCGAGAUGAGUUCUCCCUGAGACUGUAAGUCUCCUGAAGGAACGUUGAAGACGACGACGUUGAUAGGCCGGGUGUGUAAGCGCAGCGAUGCGUUGAGCUAACCGGUACUAAUGAACCGUGAG
This 2901-nucleotide ribosomal RNA is filed under the name Cronobacter sakazakii. RNAcentral describes it as "partial 23S ribosomal RNA". It matches the Rfam family "Bacterial large subunit ribosomal RNA". The record is from RNAcentral. Lineage: Bacteria; Pseudomonadati; Pseudomonadota; Gammaproteobacteria; Enterobacterales; Enterobacteriaceae.